Molecule: long non-coding RNA, 1007 nt
Organism: Heterocephalus glaber (naked mole-rat)
Lineage: Eukaryota; Metazoa; Chordata; Mammalia; Rodentia; Bathyergidae
Source: RefSeq, a predicted model, not a curated record
AGAUAGCUUACUUCUCCAGCUCAUCCCAGAAGACAUGUGGGUCAGAGCUCUUCUGCCGGAUCUUCAACAUGUGCUGCACCAGGCGGAUGGAGCGAUUAUAGGAUUUGUCCAGUUCACUGAUGAUGAACAGCAGGUCUGAGCUGAGUGCUGGCACAGCUGCAUACUGCCACAGCAGCACUGGCAGAGGCUUGAGGUUUACUCUAGAGGGAUGAAACCAGAUUAAACUCUGCACUUGAGUCCAUUGAGGGCAGAAGAACUGUACUAAGGAUGCGGCAUCAGCUGGAAGAACACUGACCAAAUUUAAAAACCAUUUCAGUGUCUCUGCUUUGCUGAUGCCUACACUCAUGCAUGGGCUGCCCCUCCAGUCAUCCAGCCCAGCCUUGGAAACCUUGUGAAACCUGUCAGUGUGGGGAGCUGUCUCAUCUCUGAGUCCAUGCAAACAGUGAAUAAAGUGCAGUCUUGGAAGCAACUUACCGGAGGAGAACUCCUGAGCGAAUGCCAGCGACAUCAGCAACAAGGGAAAGCCUACAGCCACAAACUUGACCAUCUGGUCCAGGGGCAGCUCCAGGCGCAGGCCUUUGAGGACAGUGGAUAAUUCUGAACCACAUCUGCCUCACGUGUGCUAACUGGAGUGAUCCAGGCAUGGGGACAUCAGAAGAGAUUGUUUCUAUUUUCCAUCACCUUCUCCAUAUUCUCAUUUUGGUAUCUUUUAAUUAUGUGUGUUUUCCCCAAAUGGUUAUUUUUGGUUUGAAUACAUAUAUAUUCUUUUGCUUCUUAAAAAUAUUUAUAUAUUUUUAAAGCAUAAUAUACAUACAUUAAAAUGCAUUCAAGCAUGCAGUUCAAUAGAUUUUCACCUUGUCAAGAAGCAGAACAUUAUUAGCACCUCAGAAACUGCCUCUGUGCUUCUUUCGAAUAAGUUUUAUUUCCCAAAAGGUGAUCAUUAUCCUAACUUUAAAUAGCAUAGAUUGGUUUUGUAUUUUUUUUUCUUUUGGUACCAGGGAUCAAAC